CUGAUGUCCUGCAGUCAGUCUACUUGAAGAUGAAUACACAUUGAAGCCACAGCUAUUUCCAACCAUAGCUGAAACAUAUCGACAAGCAGAGCUGAGAAUCUUUUUUUUAAGUGCUGUACAUGGCAGGGGAAGAUGUUGCUACCAGCUACUUUAGGGAACUCCUGGUGGGACAUUCGGAUACCAUUCUCAGAGGAAGUUAAAUACUGGGCUUUAGGGAUGUCUGUGUUUCUUUUUCUCAUUGCCAUCUGUAUUCUGAUAUGGCAAACUCAUCGAUACUGCACACAACUGACUGCUUCUAAGCAUACUGUUAAUAGCACACUUUUAGACAGCCAGUCUGCAAAAAAUGAAACAUUUCAAAGCUCACCAAUACCCAAUUACCAGCUGUAUUUCCACCAUGAUGAAGUGGGAUCCUUAAGUAGCUGCCUGUACAGCAGCUCUGAUCUGGCCAACAGUACAGACAGUCUCGAGGAUGUGGAUGAGGAACACGUUCAGGGAACGCUGCGCUUCUCACUCUUCUAUGAUCAGCUGCAGUCUCGGUUGGUGGUGACUGUAUUGGAGGCAAGAGACCUGGCGGCACGAACGUUUAGCCAGCAUGUGGACCCCUUCAUCAAUGUACGAGUGCUAUGGGUAGCAGUGGAGGAUGAAGAGCAACAGCUGACCUGUGUGCUUCAGGAGUGGCAGACACGCCCAGUCAAGGAUAGCUGCAACCCUACAUUUGGGGAUCAGUUCUCCUGCACAGUGACUGAGGAGGAAAUGCCGAGGGUCACAGUGCGGCUGGAGGUGAGGAAG
This is a long non-coding RNA of Ictalurus punctatus (channel catfish), 789 nucleotides long. Lineage: Eukaryota; Metazoa; Chordata; Actinopteri; Siluriformes; Ictaluridae. The record is from Ensembl.